Molecule: non-coding RNA, 69 nt
Organism: Ailuropoda melanoleuca (giant panda)
Lineage: Eukaryota; Metazoa; Chordata; Mammalia; Carnivora; Ursidae
Source: the annotation of a RefSeq genome assembly
AAGGGCUUAGCUUAAUUAAAGCGAUUGUUUUGCGUUCAGUUGAUGUGAGGUAGAUUCUUGCAGUCCUUA